This 439-nucleotide ribosomal RNA is filed under the name uncultured Bacillota bacterium. RNAcentral's name for it is "bacterial SSU rRNA". It matches the Rfam family "Bacterial small subunit ribosomal RNA", at positions 338 to 768 of the family's 1533-position model. Lineage: Bacteria; Bacillati; Bacillota. The record is from RNAcentral.
CCUACGGGAGGCAGCAGUGGGGAAUUUUCCGCAAUGGGCGAAAGCCUGACGGAGCAACGCCGCGUGAAUGAAGAAGGCCUUCGGGUCGUAAAGUUCUGUCAUAAGGGAAGAAAGUGCCAUAUGUAAAUAAUGUAUGGUAUUGACGGUACCUUAGGAGGAAGCCACGGCUAACUACGUGCCAGCAGCCGCGGUAAUACGUAGGUGGCGAGCGUUGUCCGGAAUUACUGGGCGUAAAGGGCGCGUAGGCGGGAAUACAAGUCAGAUGUGAAAACUCCGGGCUUAACUUGGAGACUGCAUUUGAAACUGUAUUUCUUGAGGACAGGAGAGGAAAGCGGAAUUCCUAGUGUAGCGGUGAAAUGCGUAGAUAUUAGGAGGAACACCAGUGGCGAAGGCGGCUUUCUGGACUGUAACUGACGCUGAGGCGCGAAAGCGUGGGGAG